UACGUAGGGUCCGAGCGUUGUCCGGAUUUAUUGGGCGUAAAGAGCGUGUAGGCGGCCUGACAAGUCUGCUGUGAAAACUCGAGGCUCAACCUCGAGAUGUCGGCGGAAACUGUCUGGCUAGAGUCCGGAAGUGGAGAGUGGAAUUCCUGGUGUAGCGGUGAAAUGCGCAGAUAUCAGGAAGAACACCUAUGGCGAAGGCAGCUCUCUGGGACGGUACUGACGCUGAGACGCGAAAGCGUGGGGAGCGAACAGG
This 253-nucleotide ribosomal RNA is filed under the name uncultured bacterium. Its description in RNAcentral is "partial 16S ribosomal RNA". It matches the Rfam family "Bacterial small subunit ribosomal RNA", at positions 524 to 776 of the family's 1533-position model. The record is from RNAcentral.